AGUAGACUAUUCCUUCUCCAUUUUCCCUUUUUUUUUUUUUUUUUUUGGUUAUGUUUAUCUCCUUAGAUCUAGAAGUUCAAGGCCCGGUUUGAUCAUCUUCCGCCCAGAUUUGUCAAAGUCGUAGAAGAGAAAAACAAAGAGCUCGAUGAGAGCUUCAACCCCAUGGUCAUGGUUUUUCAGUUAAGCUAUUUUCAUUCACUGGUCAAUUGGGAUUUUUCUCUCUAAAUGAGAAAAUUUGGAGCGUUUGGACAGAAAAUUUGGAGCGUUUUCAUUUUGAUGGUAAUUGGGAUUCUCAUUCCAAUUAAGGUCUAUACAUACUCAUUCCCUACGAGUACCACAGGAUACUCACCCCUCGUUGAACGUGAGCUGUUUCAGAUACGAAGACUUGGUUCGAGAUGCACAUCAUUCCUUGGAUGACUUGUAACUUUUAAGUUUCCAUUUCAUGCAAAUGUUAGCAUGAAAUGUCAUUUUGUAACUUUAUAUGUUAAAACUUAUAUCUUUGAUUCCAUAUAUGUAACGUGUACAUAAGUAUACCUUUUACGAUAUAUUUGACAUGUAUGAGAUGAGGCCGGAGGCCAAUGACUUUUAUUUUGUAUCCUAUGUAACUUUUGACUUCAUGAAAUAUUAUAGAAAUAUUGAAAAA
Cornus florida is the source of this 643-nucleotide long non-coding RNA. RefSeq lists it as uncharacterized. The transcript is spliced from 3 exons. Lineage: Eukaryota; Viridiplantae; Streptophyta; Magnoliopsida; Cornales; Cornaceae. The record is from RefSeq and is a predicted model, not a curated record.